AGCGAACGCUGGCGGCAGGCCUAACACAUGCAAGUCGAACGAACCUUUCGGGGUUAGUGGCGGACGGGUGAGUAACACGUGGGAACGUGCCCUUAGGUUCGGCAUAACUCAGGGAAACUUGUGCUAAUACCGAAUGUGCCCUUCGGGGGAAAGAUUUAUCGCCUUUAGAGCGGCCCGCGUCUGAUUAGCUAGUUGGUUGAGGUAAUGGCUCACCAAGGCGACGUUCAGUAGCUGGUAUGAGAGGAUGUUCAGCCACAUUGGGACUGAGACACGGCCCAAACUCCUACGGGAUGCAGCAGUGGGGAAUCUUGCGCAAUGGGCUAAAGCCUGACGCAGCCAUGCCGCGUGAAUGAUGAAGGUCUUAGGAUUGUAAAAUUCUUUCACCUGGGACGAUAAUGACGGUACCCGGAGAAGAAGCCCCGGCUAACUUCGUG
This 434-nucleotide ribosomal RNA is filed under the name uncultured bacterium. RNAcentral's name for it is "partial 16S ribosomal RNA". It matches the Rfam family "Bacterial small subunit ribosomal RNA", at positions 29 to 507 of the family's 1533-position model. The record is from RNAcentral.